RNAcentral lists this ribosomal RNA (465 nucleotides) under uncultured bacterium. RNAcentral describes it as "partial 16S ribosomal RNA". It matches the Rfam family "Bacterial small subunit ribosomal RNA", at positions 338 to 795 of the family's 1533-position model. The record is from RNAcentral.
CCUACGGGAGGCAGCAAUGGGGAAUAUUGCGCAAUGGACGAAAGCCUGACGCAGCGACGCCGCGUGAGGGAUGAAGGUCUUCGGAGCGUAAACCUCUGUCAGCAGGGAAGUACGGUCACUGUGCUAAUCAGCAGUGAAUUUGCGGUACCAGCAAAGGAAGCACCGGCUAACUCCGUGCCAGCAGCCGCGGUAAUACGGAGGGUGCGAGCGUUAAUCGGAAUUACUGGGCGUAAAGCGCUCGUAGGCGGUAUGUCAAGUCAAGGGUGAAAUCCCCGCGCUCAACGUGGGAACUGCCUUUGAAACUGGCAACCUGGAGUGUGUGAGAGGAUAGUGGAAUUCCAGGUGUAGGUGUGAAAGCCGUAGAUAUCUGGAGGAACAUCAGUGGCGAAGGCGACUGUCUGGCACAUAACUGACGCUGAGGAGCGAAAGCGUGGGUAGCAAACAGGAUUAGAUACCCCUGUAGUC